UCAUUCCCUGGGAUACCCCUGCAAACAACCCAUCCAGAGCAAAAGUAUUUCAUAUCAUGAAGGUUGAAAGCAAGAGUAUCUCAUAUCAUGCUUUCUCCUUGUCCUUUUCCUUGUCUUUGUUUUACGACAAGGAGAAAGAGAGCAAUCAAUCAGCAUUUGGUAUCAAUCUUCCGAUUUGGAGCCAACUGCCUGGAACCCCUUCCUGAUUGCUUACCUAGCCUUGCUCUCGAGUACUCAUCUUCAUCAUUUUAUGCUUUCUCUUCGUCUACCACAUCUGCCUGGGGGACGGUAAGGGAAGUGAAAAUGAUACCUCGAAGCAUGUGGAGACAAUUCAGCUAGGGACAAGGAGAAAGAGAGCAAGAGGUGGGCACUUGGAAAGAUUGAAGAAAGAAACAGACCAACACCUCUCCCUCGUGCCUGCCCGUUGUGCAGAAGAAACAAGCAGAGAAGAAUGCAGCUCGUACAAUCAACCCAGCACAAGGAGUCCGAGCUGAAGAACUAGAGAAGCUGCCACAUCUGCUUGGAGAACAAAUAAGGAACUGCAACAUCACCAAAGAGCAAAGCUUCGCC
RNAcentral lists this long non-coding RNA (570 nucleotides) under Malus domestica (apple). Its description in RNAcentral is "long non-coding RNA (MDOM_LNC019044)". Lineage: Eukaryota; Viridiplantae; Streptophyta; Magnoliopsida; Rosales; Rosaceae. The record is from RNAcentral.